GCUUUAACAUGCAGUCGAACGGCAGCACGGACUUCGGUCUGGUGGCGAGUGGCGAACGGGUGAGUAACAUAUCGGAACGUAUCCAAUAAUGGGGGAUAACGAGUCGAAAGAUUCGCUAAUACCGCAUACGCCCUACGGGGGAAAGCUGGGGACCUUCGGGCCUGGCGUUAAUGGAGCGGCCGAUAUCUGAUUAGCUAGUUGGUGAGGUAAAGGCUCACCAAGGCGACGAUCAGUAGCUGGUCUGAGAGGACGACCAGCCACACUGGAACUGAGACACGGUCCAGACUCCUACGGGAGGCAGCAGUGGGGAAUUUUGGACAAUGGGCGCAAGCCUGAUCCAGCCAUUCCGCGUGAGUGAAGAAGGCCUUCGGGUUGUAAAGCUCUUUCGCAAGGGAAGAAAACUUAGCCACUAACAUUGGCUGAGGUUGACGGUACCUUGAUAAGAAGCACCGGCUAACUACGUGCCAGCAGCCGCGGUAAUACGUAGGGUGCGAGCGUUAAUCGGAAUUACUGGGCGUAAAGCGUGCGCAGGCGGCUUUGUAAGUCAGAUGUGAAAUCCCCGAGCUCAACUUGGGAACUGCGUUUGAAACUGCAAGGCUAGAAUAUGUCAGAGGGGGGUAGAAUUCCACGUGUAGCAGUGAAAUGCGUAGAGAUGUGGAGGAAUACCAAUGGCGAAGGCAGCCCCCUGGGAUAAUAUUGACGCUCAUGCACGAAAGCGUGGGGAGCAAACAGGAUUAGAUACCCUGGUAGUCCACGCCCUAAACGAUGUCUACUAGUUGUUGGUGGAGUAAAAUCCAUGAGUAACGCAGCUAACGCGUGAAGUAGACCGCCUGGGGAGUACGGUCGCAAGAUUAAAACUCAAAUGAAUUGACGGGGGCCCGCACAGCGGUGGAUUAUGUGGAUUAAUUCGAUGCAACGCGAAAACCUUACCUGGCCUUG
This 939-nucleotide ribosomal RNA is filed under the name uncultured bacterium. RNAcentral's name for it is "bacterial SSU rRNA". It matches the Rfam family "Bacterial small subunit ribosomal RNA", at positions 46 to 983 of the family's 1533-position model. The record is from RNAcentral.